This 315-nucleotide long non-coding RNA is filed under the name Homo sapiens (human). RNAcentral describes it as "LHRI_LNC953.1". The record is from RNAcentral. Lineage: Eukaryota; Metazoa; Chordata; Mammalia; Primates; Hominidae.
GGCCGGGCGUGGUGGCUCACGCUUGUAAUCCCAGCACUUUGGGAGGCCGAGGCGGGUGGAUCACGAGGUCAGGAGAUCGAGACCAUCCUGGCUAACACGGUGAAACCCCGUCUCUACUAAAAAUACAAAAAAAAAAUUAGCCGGGCGUGAUGGCGGGCGCCUGUAGUCCCAGCUACUCGGGAGGCUGAGGCAAGAGAAUGGCGUGAACCUGGGAGGCGGAGCUUGCAGUGAGCCGAGAUUGCGCCACUGCACUCCCGCCUGGGCCACAGAGCGAGACUCCGUCUCAAAAAAAAAAAAAAAAAAAAAAAAAAAAAA